GUUUUUUUUAUUUAUUAUCAAUCACUUCCACAAGACAAUUUGGAUUUAAAAAUGAGGCACAUAGGGGAGGAUGAUCCCCUACAAACAAGUGCACAAGAAGAGGGUGAAAAAAUCGAAAAAAAUGGUCAUGGAGUGCACGGUGGCGCCAAAAGCACCCAGCAACAUCCAAGUAUUGACCAGUAAAAAUUCGAUAAUGAUCCUUCCGCAGGUUCACCUACGGAAA
RNAcentral lists this unclassified non-coding RNA (223 nucleotides) under uncultured fungus. Its description in RNAcentral is "sequence contains ITS1". Lineage: Eukaryota; Fungi. The record is from RNAcentral.